GCCAGGUGUGGUGGCGCGCACUUGUAAUCCCAGCUACUUGGGAGGCUGAGGCAGAAGAAUUGCUUGAAUUCAGGAGAUGGAGGUUGCAGUGAGCCAAGAUUUUGCCACUGUAUUCUCCACCCUGGAUGACAGAGCGAGACUCUGUCUCAA
This is a non-coding RNA of Gorilla gorilla gorilla (western lowland gorilla), 150 nucleotides long. It matches the Rfam family "Metazoan signal recognition particle RNA". Rfam says of the family: The signal recognition particle (SRP) is a universally conserved ribonucleoprotein. It is involved in the co-translational targeting of proteins to membranes. The eukaryotic SRP consists of a 300-nucleotide 7S RNA and six proteins: SRPs 72, 68, 54, 19, 14, and 9. The record is from Rfam. Lineage: Eukaryota; Metazoa; Chordata; Mammalia; Primates; Hominidae.